This 1395-nucleotide ribosomal RNA is filed under the name Rhodococcus sp. 29MFTsu3.1. RNAcentral describes it as "bacterial LSU rRNA". It matches the Rfam family "Bacterial large subunit ribosomal RNA", at positions 1553 to 2925 of the family's 2925-position model. The record is from RNAcentral. Lineage: Bacteria; Bacillati; Actinomycetota; Actinomycetes; Mycobacteriales; Nocardiaceae.
AGCCUGAGAGGUGAUGCGUAGCCGAUUGAGGCGAAUUCAGUGAUCCUAUGCUGCCGAGAAAAGCCUCUAGCGAGCUUUCACACGGCCCGUACCCCAAACCGACACAGGUGGUCAGGUAGAGAAUACUGAGGCGAUCGAGAUAACUAUGGUUAAGGAACUCGGCAAAAUGCCCCCGUAACUUCGGGAGAAGGGGGACCUCGUCCGGUGAUCAUCCUUGCGGUGUGAGCUGGGUGGGGUCGCAGAGACCAGUGAGAAGCGACUGUUUACUAAAAACACAGGUCCGUGCGAAGUCGUAAGACGAUGUAUACGGACUGACGCCUGCCCGGUGCUGGAAGGUUAAGAGGACCGGUCAACUGCACUUGUGUGGUGAAGCUGAGAAUUUAAGCCCCAGUAAACGGCGGUGGUAACUAUAACCAUCCUAAGGUAGCGAAAUUCCUUGUCGGGUAAGUUCCGACCUGCACGAAUGGCGUAACGACUUCUCAGCUGUCUCAACCAUAGACUCGGCGAAAUUGCAUUACGAGUAAAGAUGCUCGUUACGCGCGGCAGGACGAAAAGACCCCGGGACCUUCACUAUAGCUUGGUAUUGGUGUUCGGUUCGGUUUGUGUAGGAUAGGUGGGAGACUGUGAAGCGGUGACGCCAGUUACUGUGGAGUCGUUGUUGAAAUACCACUCUGAUCGUAUUGGAUACCUCAACCUCGGACCAUGAUCUGGUUCAGGGACAGUGCCUGGUGGGUAGUUUAACUGGGGCGGUUGCCUCCCAAAAUGUAACGGAGGCGCCCAAAGGUUCCCUCAGCCUGGUUGGCAAUCAGGUGUCGAGUGCAAGUGCACAAGGGAGCUUGACUGUGAGACUGACAGGUCGAGCAGGGACGAAAGUCGGGACUAGUGAUCCGGCACCGGCAUGUGGAAGCGGUGUCGCUCAACGGAUAAAAGGUACCCCGGGGAUAACAGGCUGAUCUUCCCCAAGAGUCCAUAUCGACGGGAUGGUUUGGCACCUCGAUGUCGGCUCGUCGCAUCCUGGGGCUGGAGUAGGUCCCAAGGGUUGGGCUGUUCGCCCAUUAAAGCGGCACGCGAGCUGGGUUUAGAACGUCGUGAGACAGUUCGGUCUCUAUCCGCCGCGCGCGUCAGAAACUUGAGGAAGGCUGUCCCUAGUACGAGAGGACCGGGACGGACGAACCUCUGGUGUGCCAGUUGUUCCACCAGGAGCACCGCUGGUUAGCUACGUUCGGAAGGGAUAACCGCUGAAAGCAUCUAAGCGGGAAGCCUGUUCCAAGAUGAGGUUUCUCACCCCCUUUGUGGGGGUAAGGCCCCCGGCAGACCACCGGGUUGAUAGGCCAGAACUGGAAGUGCAGUAAUGCAUGCAGGUGACUGGUACUAAUAGGCCGAGGACUUACCACA